GGGGCGGUGGGCGUUGUUUGCCGUAACGAGGUUGGUCAUUUUAUUGGCGCCUCAGCGGUAGUUUUUAAGGGUAUCACCGAGCCCUCGACACUCGAAGCGUGUGCAUGCAGGGAGGCCCUCGCCCUCGCCGAGGAUUUGGUCGUGAACAAAGUUCGCAUUGCAUCGGACUGUCUGAGAGUCAUAAACGACCUGAAGAAUCCAGGCCAUCUCGGGGAGUAUUGCAUGAUUGUGCAGGAGAUUAACGACAAGAAGCGGAAUUUCCAGAGCUGUGAGCUCAUCCACGAGCAUCGCGCCAAUAAUGGUGAGGCACAUAGACUAGCUAGAAUGGCUACUACUCUUGAGAGUGAUCGACAUGUGUGGCUCAUUGAUCCUCCGGAUCACCUUUGUAUCCCUUUGAAUUUUGACACAUGA
This 411-nucleotide ribosomal RNA is filed under the name Triticum aestivum (bread wheat). Its description in RNAcentral is "partial small subunit ribosomal RNA". Lineage: Eukaryota; Viridiplantae; Streptophyta; Magnoliopsida; Poales; Poaceae. The record is from RNAcentral.